RNAcentral lists this long non-coding RNA (222 nucleotides) under Elaeis guineensis (African oil palm). RNAcentral's name for it is "long non-coding RNA (EGUI_LNC005970)". The record is from RNAcentral. Lineage: Eukaryota; Viridiplantae; Streptophyta; Magnoliopsida; Arecales; Arecaceae.
GGCCUUGACAUAUGAGAUAUGUCUAAUGUGUGACAUGUCUCAUGCAUGUCGAGAUAGGAUAAAUUGCUCGUACCGUGUUGAACAAUUCAAUGGUUUAUACCCAGUGGCCAUCCACAUCACAUCCCUGUGUGAAUAUAAUCAAGAUAACAACAUUUCGCAAGGAAAUCUGCUAGCUUGUUCCUCUGUCGUGCUCAUUCUGUUUAAUGGCAUCAAUCUGGAUUG